UACGGGGGGGGUAAGCGUUGUUCGGAAUUACUGGGCGUAAAGGGCUCGUAGGCGGCCAACUAAGUCAGACGUGAAAUCCCUCAGCUUAACUGGGGAACUGCGUCUGAUACUGGAUGGCUUGGAUUCGGGAGAGGAAUGCGGAAUUCCAGGUGUAGCGGUGAAAUGCGUAGAUAUCGGGAGGAACACCGGUGGCGAAGGCGGUUCUCUGGGCCUUACCUGACGCUGAGGAGCGAAAGCGUGGGGAGCGAACAGG
RNAcentral lists this ribosomal RNA (253 nucleotides) under uncultured bacterium. RNAcentral's name for it is "partial 16S ribosomal RNA". It matches the Rfam family "Bacterial small subunit ribosomal RNA", at positions 524 to 776 of the family's 1533-position model. The record is from RNAcentral.